RNAcentral lists this long non-coding RNA (741 nucleotides) under Anser brachyrhynchus (Pink-footed goose). RNAcentral describes it as "lncRNA (ENSABRG00000021524.1)". Lineage: Eukaryota; Metazoa; Chordata; Aves; Anseriformes; Anatidae. The record is from RNAcentral.
GAGCCGGAGGGGAGCGGCCUCCCCUGCUCCUGCAGCUCAGGUCCCCACCGCUUCACCUCCCCAGCCCUAGAGGGACUGCUGCUCCUGGGGGUGAUGGCAACUGGGACAGCUGGAAGCUGUCUGGGGAAAGAACCAAACUUUUGGGGCACUACAAGGGACCCUAACUCAAUUCCCAGUGUUGCCCCAACUGGAGGAAGCCGUGUGGUUUGAUGGAGAGCCCUUUCCAGCCUCGUACCUGCAGGGCAGACACGAGCACCGCUGCCACAAGGGAUGUUUGCUGGGCCUUUCAGCUUUUUGCUCUAAAAUUUUGUAGGCGCUGUCCCCAUUUUUUUUUUGUUUAUUUGUUUUUAGUUUGCUAAAGGAAAAACCUCUUAAUGGUUUCUUUCUCUCCUAAAGGUGUCUGGCAGCAGAUGACGGGCUAGAGCUGCAUCGGGGCGGGCGGUGUGGCAUAACGCCGGAUCUGUCCUAGGCUGUGCCGGAGCGGGGACCUCAUCAGACAGAGAUUACGGAGGAACUGCACGGGCUGAGACGGCAGCUCUUAAUCCCCCGACUUUUUGGAUCGCCAGCCGUCGCCGAGGAGAAUGCAGCCCUCCCCUCCGGCCGGCUUAUAAUGAGAGGGGGACACACUGGUGGCAGUCGUUGCGCGGUGACGCUGGCUGGAUGCUCUGGACGCAUUGGAUGCAGCCGAGCUCUCCGCAGCCUGGUGGGAAGCAUCCGACAGCAGGGUGCAACGAGGGAACU